GUCUGCGCCUAUGCCACCAUGAACAAGCCUGAUUCCAUCUGAUCUCGGAAGCUAAGCAUGGUCUGGCCUUGUUAGUACUUGGAUGGGAGACCACCUAGGGAAACCAGGUGCUGUAGGCA
Pteropus vampyrus (large flying fox) is the source of this 119-nucleotide ribosomal RNA. The record is from Ensembl. Lineage: Eukaryota; Metazoa; Chordata; Mammalia; Chiroptera; Pteropodidae.